This 1243-nucleotide ribosomal RNA is filed under the name Pseudotetraploa rajmachiensis. Its description in RNAcentral is "partial large subunit ribosomal RNA". It matches the Rfam family "Eukaryotic large subunit ribosomal RNA", at positions 48 to 1304 of the family's 3401-position model. The record is from RNAcentral. Lineage: Eukaryota; Fungi; Ascomycota; Dothideomycetes; Pleosporales; Tetraplosphaeriaceae.
AGACCGGUAUUUAGGACCACAGGGAUUGCCCCAGUAACGGCGAGUGAAGCGGCAACAGCUCAAAUUUGAAAUCUGGCCCCCUCGGGGCCCGAGUUGUAAUUUGCAGAGGGUGCCUUGGCGUUGGCACCGGCCUAAGUUCCCUGGAACGGGACGUCGCAGAGGGUGAGAACCCCGUACGUGGCCGGCCGCCUCCGCCGUGUAAGGCCCCUUCGACGAGUCGAGUUGUUUGGGAAUGCAGCUCUAAAUGGGAGGUAAAUUCCUUCUAAAGCUAAAUACUGGCCAGAGACCGAUAGCGCACAAGUAGAGUGAUCGAAAGAUGAAAAGCACUUUGGAAAGAGAGUCAAAAAGCACGUGAAAUUGUUGAAAGGGAAGCGCUUGCAGCCAGACUCGCCCGUAGUCGCUCACCCGGGCAUCUGCCCGGUGCACUCUUCUACGGGCGGGCCAGCAUCGGUUUGGGCGGCCGGACAAAGGCCCCGGGAACGUGGCUCCCCUCGGGGAGUGUUAUAGCCCGGGGCGCCCUGCGGCCAGCCCGGACCGAGGUCCGCGCAUCUGCUAGGAUGCUGGCGUAAUGGCUGUAAGCGGCCCGUCUUGAAACACGGACCAAGGAGUCUAACAUCUAUGCGAGUGUUUGGGUGUCAAGCCCGGACGCGCAAUGAAAGUGAACGGAGGUGGGAACCCCCCCGGGGUGCACCAUCGACCGAUCCUGAUGUCUUCGGAUGGAUUUGAGUAAGAGCAUAGCUGUUGGGACCCGAAAGAUGGUGAACUAUGCCUGAAUAGGGUGAAGCCAGAGGAAACUCUGGUGGAGGCUCGCAGCGGUUCUGACGUGCAAAUCGAUCGUCAAAUUUGGGCAUAGGGGCGAAAGACUAAUCGAACUAUCUAGUAGCUGGUUCCUGCCGAAGUUUCCCUCAGGAUAGCAGUAACGUUUUCAGUUUUAUGAGGUAAAGCGAAUGAUUAGAGGCCUGGGGGUUGAAACAACCUUCACCUAUUCUCAAACUUUAAAUAUGUAAGAAGUCCUUGUUACUUGAUUGAACGUGGACAUUUGAAUGCACCGUUACUAGUGGGCCAUUUUUGGUAAGCAGAACUGGCCAAUGCGGGAUGAACCGAAACGCGGGGUUAAGGUGCCAAAAUGCACGCUCAUCAGACACCCCAAAAGGUGUUAGUUCAUCUAGACCGCCAGGACGGUGGCCCUUGGAAAUCCGAAAUCCGCUAAAGGAUUGUGUAACAACUUAACCUGCCCAAAUCG